AUUCAGUUGAGGCUUGCCACAGCGCAGUUUCAGUUGAAUGAUUCUUGUUCUCGCGAAACCAAGCUUUCUUGUGAGCUGAAAGAGUUACUGCAGUCGAAGGAGAAAAUCCAGAGCGAAAAUCAGAGGUUGAGAUUUACAUUAGAGGAGUUAAUUCUUGUUGUGGAGCAGAAGGGCCAAGAGACAUUCCGGCAAGAAAACGUCUUGGAACUGAAGUUACACAGUUUUGAAAACAAGGUGGAAGAUAUACACCGCCGGAUGAAAGAAAUACUUUUGUAUUUAGAUGCACUUUACCUUGUGAAAGAAAAGCUGGAAGCUAGGAUUGAAUGCAUCGAGCACAGGAUCUUGCAGUGCUGCUCAAGUCUUGAGAAAAAUCUUGCAAAAGCUCAGGAGGAUAGGGAUCCGAUUGAGGUCGUGGAAGCUGAACGCGAGAGUAUGUUAGCGGAGAAAUUGAGUACUGUGGCAUUAUGUUUACGCAUCCAAGCGCUGAAGGAUGAUUUGGAUGCAUUAGUGACCUUAAUCAAGCAAAAGGAAGAAGAGAUAUCCAUGUUCCGUCAAAAAUGGACUGAAUCGGAAAGUACGGCUGUUCCACUUCAAGAGAAACUAUGUACUUCGAUCUCGUUAACAAAAGAGCUUACCCGAUCAGUAGAGGAAUCGAAAUUUCAGAAGGAAGCUCUUGCUGAUGAGAAUAACAGUCUGACUAGCUACAUGGUUUGUCAGGAGAUGAAAUUUUUAUCCCUGCAGGAACAGAAGGAUAUUAUGAAGAAAAAACUGCAAAAGGAACUGUUGGAAGACCAUCUUAUAACUAAACUAGAGCUAGUUGAUUGUCAAGAACCAAAGCAAGGCUUUCACUGUAUCUUGAAAAUUUUGAAGAAGCAGGUGAUGGAAAUUGAAAAGAAGUUUGAAAUGACAAUAAAGGAUCUAGAGAUCCAAUGGAAUAUGAAGACAGGAGAACUGUUAAACCAUCUCUUCAGAACUUUUCUGGAUCGGACGGAAAUGAAAAUUUUCUCACAAAAAAUACAGUGGGAUUUAGUAGCGGCAGAGUCUUCACUGUCUGCUUCAGACACAGCUACCGGGCAGCUACUACAGAAAAUUAUACUUUUAAAAGCCGUCAAUAACCAACUACUAAAGAACCAGGAGGCAAUUCGGUUCGAGCUUUCUGAUAUGGAACAAUAUGCAUUUGAACUUCACAGAGCCAGAAGCUUUACUUCAGAGACUGAGCUAUUGCAUCAUUACCUUGACGUACUUAAGAGGGAGGUUGAAAGAAUACUAUGCGAGUGCGAAAUACUACAGACACAGAUAAAUGAUGAGGACAGCACUAUUUUAUCAUUGCAAAUAGAAAUGAAUGCAAACAUUGCAGUCUGCAGGCAGAUGGAAGUCGAGUUGGAAUGCUCAGAUCCUGGUAGGAGUGCUCUAAAGCUCGAGCUAAUUAACUUUAACAGAGCACAAGAAAACUCUCAAGAUGAGGUUCGAUGCCGAAAGUCGCCAAAGGAGCAUUAUGAAACUGGGUUUUACAACGUUAUGGAGUUACUCACAAAAUCCGAAGAGAAACUUGACGAAUCAGAACGUGAACGGCUGAAGCGAAUAGUAGAGACAGAUUCGGAGAUGGAAGCAGCAAAACUUUGCG
RNAcentral lists this long non-coding RNA (1624 nucleotides) under Physcomitrium patens. RNAcentral's name for it is "long non-coding RNA (PPAT_LNC000232)". The record is from RNAcentral. Lineage: Eukaryota; Viridiplantae; Streptophyta; Bryopsida; Funariales; Funariaceae.